RNA transcript from Andrographis paniculata, 818 nucleotides. It is a transcript of the gene named two-on-two hemoglobin-3, with no coding region annotated. The transcript is spliced from 6 exons. NCBI's taxonomy places the organism in Eukaryota, Viridiplantae, Streptophyta, Magnoliopsida, Lamiales, Acanthaceae. The record is from RefSeq and is a predicted model, not a curated record.
CACCAAAAGUGUAGGCGGUGGAAACAGACACGAUCAAACACAGUUGAGAAAGAGAUGCAGAAGUCGAUGCAAGAGAAGGUGUUGGAGUGGAGCGGAGUGCAUCCGGACGACGCCUUCGCCAUCGACGGGACGAAUCUCUACGAAAAGCUAGGGCUUCAGACAUUCAUUAACCUGUCCACCAACUUCUACAACAGAGUUUAUGAUGAUGAGGAGGAAGAGUGGUUUCGAUCAAUUUUUGCUAAUUCCAAAAAGGAAGAUGCCAUUCAAAAUCAAUACGAGUUCUUCGUACAGAGAAUGGGAGGGCCUCCAUUGUACAGCCAAAGAAGAGGCCAUCCUGCAUUAAUUGCCCGGCACCGGCCCUUCCCGGUCACCCGGGAAGCUGCAGAGAGGUGGCUACACCACAUGCAGCAAGCACUGGACACCACUAAGGAUAUCGAUUCAGAUUCCAAAACCAAAAUGAUGAACUUCUUUAGGCACACUGCCUUCUUUCUCGUCGCCGGAGAUGAAAUGAAGAACCAGAAUAAACAGCCAAAGCCCGCCGAAACAGAAUGAACUCAAUCGCGCGGAUCAGGAGGAAAUGGCGACGACGAUGGAUUCGCGUAUUUGGCGGAGAAAGACCUUCGGAAGUACUCUGGCUCCUCAACCUGCUCGAUUCCUUCGUCAAAAUUCUGCAGGCUUGGCCUCCUAACCGCACGCUUUUGCUGCGCGUCUUCUUCCAGCCGGCGAAAGUGAUCGCCAUUGAAAUUAAGUGCGAAGAAAGAGGAAUAAGGAAUUAGUACGGCGAUUGAGUCUGCUAAUUGGAACUUGAAGACUCGUCC